CAAAAUCCAUCUUUUAUCUAUAUUUUGCUAAAGUUCUUUUACUUUUUAAACAGAUUUUCAAACCGCCUGACUAAGUCAUCAUUACCAGUUUUGGCCUAACUUUGUUUCAAGAGUUGGUGCAUGCUGGAGGUGAUCCUAUGCUAGGAGAGGGGCUGCCAAGUUGAAGCUGACAGUGGCUAUUGCCUAACCUCUUUUUUUCUUCUAAACAAAUAGUCUUGUUCAAUAGCAGGAGGAUUCAA
RNAcentral lists this long non-coding RNA (239 nucleotides) under Gossypium barbadense (sea-island cotton). RNAcentral's name for it is "long non-coding RNA (GBAR_LNC018901)". The record is from RNAcentral. Lineage: Eukaryota; Viridiplantae; Streptophyta; Magnoliopsida; Malvales; Malvaceae.